Molecule: long non-coding RNA, 1234 nt
Organism: Echinops telfairi (small Madagascar hedgehog)
Lineage: Eukaryota; Metazoa; Chordata; Mammalia; Afrosoricida; Tenrecidae
Exons: 2
Source: RefSeq, a predicted model, not a curated record
GACAAAGAGGAGAGCUAACACAAGCACACCCGGAGAGAGGCCGGCUGAGCUGAGUCCAGAGCAUUUUCUCUGUCUUCUGGAAGAACGGCAGAAGACCGAAGAAGAAUUGAUGUGGUGCUGGUGAAGAAUAUCGACAGGGCCAUGGACCAGCCAAAAGAACAAACAGGUCUGCCUUGGAAGAAGUUCCCCGAGAAUGCGCCUCAGGGGCAAGGAUGGUGAGACGCCAUCUCCCGUACGUUGGCCGUGUUGACAGGAGGAAGCAGGCCCUGGGGAAGGGCAUCAUGCUUGGUCAAGUGGAGAGGCAGCCCCAAACAGGAAGGUCCUCCACAAGACGGGCUGACACAGCGGCUGCAACAAUGGGCUCAAGCCUGGGAACACUUGGGAGGUUGCAGAUUUGAUUUGAGCCAAAGGGAGAUUUGAUGUGCCCUUGAUGUGAGGAUGGAGAAGGCCGUGGAGAACGGACUUCAGACAGCUGCUCCAGGACCCUGGCCUGAGCCUGCAAGGGAGGGGAACCUCAGUCCUGCAGUGGAGGAAGUGGGUUCUGCCACAACCCGGAUGCACUUGGCCGAGAACGCUUCCCCAGAGCUUGCGGGAGGGAAGAAGAGACUGAUUCUGGUGCUGUGUGUGAGACCCUAAAACAGGAAACCGGGUGGAGCCUACCUGGAGCGGAAAGGAAAGAAUUGGUUUACAUCACAAUUUACUCAGUUGACUCAGCCAUCCACAGGACAGGGUAGAACUGCCCCUGUGAAUUUCUGCAGACGGCAUGACUUAGGGGCUCAGUGUGGAGAUGACCCUGCGGCGAAGCCCCUCCAGCAGGCUGACCGGGAGGUUUCCCCCGCCUGCAUGGCCACCAACACACCCCAGGCUGCUGGCUGGGGCCAAGGACAUUUUGGCUUCCCAGAGCGGAGGAAGGGGGCCUGCAUCACACAGCCCCUGCGCUGUGGACAGCAACAGGAGUGGCGCCCUGAUGGCCACCACCUCCCACUUCCUCACAGAUGACCGAUCUGACCUCUGUUCCAGCAGGAGGCCGGAGCUGGGGUCCCAGGCUCCUGAAUGGGUCCCAGGAAGAAGCACCCGGUGGCUGGUUGGGAGGGGCGUUUCUGAAUUUCCUAUUUGUCUCCCUAAGGGUUUGCUGGGUUACUUGGCCAGGUGUCCCCUGGGAGUCCAGCGUGGAUGUGAGGAACACGGCUCUGUUUCUGCUUUAUUGAUUAAAGAACCCCAACUUUCCUCCGUU